GAUCCUGGCUCAGGAUGAACGCUGGCGGCGUGCUUAACACAUGCAAGUCGAACGAAGCACUCUAUUUGAUUUUCUUCGGAAAUGAGGAUUUUGUGACUGAGUGGCGGACGGGUGAGUAACGCGUGGGUAACCUGCCUCAUACAGGGGGAUAACAGUUAGAAAUGACUGCCAAUACCGCAUAAGACCACAGAGUCGCAUGGCUCGGUGGGAAAAACUCCGGUGGUAUGAGAUGGACCCGCG
RNAcentral lists this ribosomal RNA (240 nucleotides) under uncultured bacterium. RNAcentral describes it as "partial 16S ribosomal RNA". It matches the Rfam family "Bacterial small subunit ribosomal RNA", at positions 15 to 235 of the family's 1533-position model. The record is from RNAcentral.